GCCUUCGUGGUGUAAUGCUCAGCACACUGAGCCGGUAUUUCAGAGGUCCGUGGCUCGAUCCCCGGCGAAGGCA
Molecule: non-coding RNA, 73 nt
Organism: Stegodyphus mimosarum
Lineage: Eukaryota; Metazoa; Arthropoda; Arachnida; Araneae; Eresidae
Source: Rfam